GCUUAACACAUGCAAGUCGAACGCUGAAGCCUAGCUUGCUGGGUGGAUGAGUGGCGAACGGGUGAGUAACACGUGAGUAACCUGCCCUCUUCUUUGGGAUAACGCCCGGAAACGGGUGCUAAUACUGGAUAUUCACUGAUUCUCGCAUGGGGGUUGGUGGAAAGGUUUUUUCUGGUGGGGGAUGGGCUCGCGGCCUAUCAGCUUGUUGGUGGGGUGAUGGCCUACCAAGGCUUUGACGGGUAGCCGGCCUGAGAGGGUGACCGGUCACAUUGGGACUGAGAUACGGCCCAGACUCCUACGGGAGG
This 305-nucleotide ribosomal RNA is filed under the name uncultured Thalassiosira. Its description in RNAcentral is "partial Bacterial small subunit ribosomal RNA". It matches the Rfam family "Bacterial small subunit ribosomal RNA", at positions 46 to 348 of the family's 1533-position model. Lineage: Eukaryota; Bacillariophyta; Thalassiosirophyceae; Thalassiosirales; Thalassiosiraceae. The record is from RNAcentral.